This is a non-coding RNA of Peromyscus maniculatus bairdii (prairie deer mouse), 535 nucleotides long. The record is from RefSeq and is a predicted model, not a curated record. NCBI's taxonomy places the organism in Eukaryota, Metazoa, Chordata, Mammalia, Rodentia, Cricetidae.
UUGGGCGGAGUGUAAGCAUUUCCGGUUGGGCUGAACCCGAAGCUAGAGAGUGAAAGACAGGCGGCGUGGGCGGAAGUAGGUUUGCCCCUACCGGAAGCCUCUGCCUCAACAUCCAUAACUUUAUUGUAACGUGUGGUUGAAGUUUUUUUGCCAAGUAAGGCUGGAAGGGAGAGAGCAGAUAUGUAAAGUCAUCGAAACAAUGCAUCCUGGCGUGUGCCUCCAGCCGAGGAUCCAAAUCCUUGGCCAAUGUCUCAUUUCCCUGCUGACAGUUUAAUGAGGCCAAAGCGUGUCUAACAGGUGCUACCAUCCAGGCGAGAAUUCCACGGUUGGAGGCAUUGGAGAGCCACCAGAAGACAGCUGGUCUCCCUGACCUUCACAAGAAGUCAAUGGUGUAAGAACAUGUCAUUCCUUCUUGUAGGUGAGAGGUGGUCCUCGCCCCCGCCCCUUUUUAUAGAGCAGUGCCAUUGUCAGAAGUGUUGAAGAAACACAGGGUAAUGUACCCCUACUAAAUGACCUCCACUCCGGUAAAGUCUGA